Long non-coding RNA from Patella vulgata (common limpet), 4542 nucleotides. RefSeq lists it as uncharacterized. The transcript has 3 exons. NCBI's taxonomy places the organism in Eukaryota, Metazoa, Mollusca, Gastropoda, Patellidae. The record is from RefSeq and is a predicted model, not a curated record.
CGUACGGAAUUCUGGGAUUUAAAAUGGCGGCAUAGGUUAUUAUUUUUCCCAAAGAAGAAAUGAUGCCGUGAUUUAAAGUUAAAUAAAGCUAUUCCACACAUACACACACGAUUUUGGAUUCAGCAAAGUAAAGUUGAAGAUCCUACAUGUAUAUUUGAGCACCCUUGGUGGCAGUAAUGACAAGGAAGUUCUAAAAAGAUUUAUAUGGGCUUUAUAAUGAAAGUUAGACAACACUACUACUUGCCAAACACUACUACUUGUCACAUAAUGCAUGGCGGUCAGGAAGGAAAGAGGAAAAAUGCGAAAAGAAGAUUAUAUUAUUAUUCAGAAAUUUCAUUCAAAAUUAAUAGAAGAAAUAGACCCUAAUUCCAUCAUAAACCAUCUUUUUUCCUCUGGUCUAUUCGAUGAUGUGGACUUGGAACAAGUUAAGGCCCAACAAGAAAAAAGUGGGCGUACCGCAGGUGCAGAAAAGAUUAUGGAGAUUUUAUACCGUUCAGGUGCCGACGCUUUUCCUAAGUUCUUGGAAAUCUUGCGUAAAGCGGCGUAUACCCGAUUAGCUACACACCUUGAGGAAGAACAGCAAAUUCAACAAGGACAAGCAGUUCCAAAAGAACAUACACUUACAGAAAAAAAAAACAACCCAUAAACUCUCUUCUUAAGGACUUCACCAUUGUGUUUUCUCACUAUAUGUAACAGGAACACUGAUAGUUUUUUCUUCUAUACGUUUUAUGUCAGUUACACAAUAGUCUACAUUUCAAUAUUUAAGAUUAACAUAUCUCUCUCUCUCUCUCUCUCUCUCUCUCAGUCCCAACUCCUGUAAAAUUCUAGCCAUCACCCCCUCUUUUACUACCCCUAAUUGAUUUACGUCAUAGGCAGCUAAAUUCCAAAUAUGGAAUAGAUAUGCACCAUACCCUGGUUAUCGACAGUGAUUUAGACAGCUUUUAACUAGCUCCUGAUGUUGUCUGCUGUUAUAUAUAUUUUAGAUGAAAUCUAUUUUAUAUUUUAUUUAACAGAUUUAAACUUUUGUUAUUUCUAUUUCUAUAUUUUAGAUCAAAUUUAUUUCAUAUUUUAUAUUUAAAGAUACAUUAUGGGAGAUUAGAUACAGAGCUGGCAGUUCUCACUAUAAUAGUUAAAAAAUAGAUAAUGUAAAUUUAGCGAUUGAAUUUUGGAUCUAGCCUCGAUCAGCAUUACUAAAAUUGGUACGAUAAAAAACACUUUUUGAUUUAAUUAUCAAUGAGCGUUUAGCAGCAGUUAGGAUUCUAAUCCGGUAAAUAUCGCAGGCUAGCGACGACAUCGGGUGUUGAUUAUGGUCUGGAUAGGUUAAUUAAUGUCUAAUUAAUAAUUUAGAUAACAUUUCAGGCCUAAAGAAAGACCUGCAACAGUAGGGUGGCCCAUGUGCUCUACAGAAAUAAAGUCCACCGCUGAUAGUUCGAGACUACCACUGAAGCGUACACAUUCGCCGUGCCGAGACCAACUUUCUGACAAUAUGAUACUAUAAAUAGCCAUGGCACGUGCAAUUCUCUACAAAUCUAUCAACUAUUACAGCCGUAAAAAAUUUAUUUUUGACGAUUUUGAAUAGCAGUGAAAUUAAGCUUCUUGGUUAUUACAGCAGAUUUAGAAAUUACGUUCGUUUUAUUUUUUAAAUCGCUUUAUCAUUAACUGUACCGUUAAGAGCGGCAUCUUUUGGUUUAAUACAAAUAAUAUCUCUGAAUCACUCGGAUUAGACAGGAACAUGAUACUUGCGGUAGUUUCAUUUUACUUUUACAAGGUUCUUAAAACGAUUGUUGAGCUACCUAACGUGCUUAUUUCUAAAUUCAAUUUCUUGUUCUAGCUUUCUGUUAUGUUUCGUAAAAAAGUAGUCUUGAUUAUCCCGACCUGUCAAUCAGACGUAGAAUGGUCGAUAGACUGGUUAAGCGAGACUAAUUUCAAAACAAGGGCACGUAACCUAUCUUUUACUCAAAAGUGUCUGGAUGUAAUGGACGACACUUGGAACCAGUUUUCAGUCUAUUAUUUAUAGAUGAUUAAUGGUCAUAGCUUAUUAAGUACAACAUGAUCGUUUAUUUAGUGACUAUAAUUGUGUGAAACUGAUUUGAGGCUUGGCAUAUAUAUAAAUAUUGUGGCGUAAUUGUCGAGAUAUAAGGAGAUAUAUGGAGAUAUUUAUUUAUGGUGGGUCACCCUAGCAACAGGCAAAUUCAGCUCUUGCAUAAUGUAUGUUUAACAGGUCUUAAGAAUGCGUUUGCGAGAGAACCAUGCAGGGACCGGCACAUGGUGGGUGACCGAUUUUCACCAUUUUUUUUUAUGUAUGAUGGGUAACUCCUCCAAACCCCACUGCCACAAUUUUAGAUCAAUCGAGCCAUUUUUAGAGCGUAGAAAAAAAUUUGAAAUUUUAAGACCGAAAAAAGCCAAAAAAUCAUCAUUUUCAGGCCACUUUUCAAUUAUUUCGUACAACUAAACUACGGCGAGUAGUGAGUAUACAUUCUGAAAGUUUGAUGGAUUUUCAUGGAGCGGUUUUUGGUAUAGGGACUUAUUGCUGCAAGGUACCAAAAUAGCUCAAUUUAGGUAUGUCAUUUGAUUCUAUCUAUAUCUCACCCACUGCGGGUUCAAGUAUUUUUUUGGAAAGCUGACUGAAAAGACAAUGAUCUAUAGUAUUAAGAUCAAGAAAAAAAUUGGGUGGCACUCGACCCGUUAAGUAGUAAAUAAUUUCCAUUUUUGUACAAAAAUGACGAUUUUUAACAAAAAUGACGAAAAAUAAACCGCUUUAUUUACACACUCAAAAGUGUAACAUGGCACUUGAAACCAAAUUAACGUGGUUUCCAGUUCCGUUAAGAGCAAGCCAUAAUAAAAAUAGAAAUAAACAAAUAAAUAUAAACGCAGAUUAUAUACUUUCAUCAAAAAAUUCAAAAUUAAAAAAUGUUCCAUUAUCAAAACUACAAAUGUUAAUACUUAUUACUAUCUAUAUGUUAAUACUUAUUACUAUCUAUAUGUUAAUACUUAUUACUAUCUAUCUAUCAAUCUAGCGCUAUCUAUCUGUUUAUACAAUAAGUAUAUAAUCACGAAAACGGAGCUCACAAUGACACCGUUAAAAUUUUCAAACGAUGAAGUUUGAAAAGCUUAAUUUACUGUAAAUGCCAAAAGAGCUGUUCUUGGUAAAUACAAUUAAUCUCUCUAGACUAUUUGUCAACAUUUUAUUAAUUCGGCAAUAUAACCUCAUGAUCUAGUAGAAGGAGGAUGAAUUUUUGAACAGCAAAUCGUAAAAACUAAAUAGUGUAGUAGUCAUAUAUAUCUGUCUAUACUUGACAAACGAAUCAAGCGAUAUUUCAAAAAGACAAAAAACAAAUUGUAUAUGACCGUAAGGUCACUAUUUUAGCAUACUCCCCGCAAUGUUUCGUUUGAUUAUACCUAAUCCCAUUCAACACUGCCGUAAUGAAAGCAAAUUUCUGUUCCAAAUUAUGAUUGGUCAAUAGUCCGAUUAACAACCAAUACCUACCUGUGUAACAAUAUUAUUCUGGUUUAAACAGAGUUUCAAAUAUGUUAACAUAACGUUACGUCAUGAUUCACGAAAUUUAUUACGCCCAAUUAACCAGUGCAUAGCAGAAUAUUGCAGAAACACUAAUUGCGUGACAAACGAGGCUAUCAACAUGGCUACAAUGUAAACAAUACUGUUUGGAGACGAACAAUACCUUAAAUCACUGUCCAAAGUUUUAGGGAAGAACCCAGAUUAAACGAAAGUCCAUGAUUCUCUCGCGAACUCAUUCUUAACUUUUGUUAUUUCUAGUUUUGUAUUUUAUCAUAUUUUCGUUGUGUAUCGUAUUGUAAAGCGCUUUGUUGUGGAAGUAUCGCUAUAGAAAUGUAUGUAUAUUAUAAUAAUUAUUACCUAAUUUGGUCAACAAAUAUGAUAUAAGUUUUAUAACAAAGACAAAUGUAAAUGACCAACAUGUUCAUUAAUCUAUAACUCAGUUAACGCAUCAAAAUAACCAUCAUACUUUCUAUAUUUUUGGUUAUGAACUUCGAAUCAAUAAUUUGUUAAGAUAAAAAUAUUGUUUCAGCCACCAUAUUUCUCAAUUCCUUGUCUAUAAAUUUUAAUUUGAAAACAAUGUCGCAACGACACUAUUGUUACACUAGGCCUUAAACCUAUCUGGUUAUCAGGAGGCUGCAUUAUUUGCUCACAUUACCCGGUGUAAUACCCAGUAUACCCUGUGUAAUACCCAGCAGACCAGAUGUAAUACCCACUAUACCCGGUGCAAUACCCAGUACACCAGAUGUAAUACUCAGUAGACCAGGUGUAACACCCACUAGACCAUAUGUAAUACUCACUAUACCCUGUGUAAUACUCAGUAGACCAGGUGUAACACCCAAUUUACACGGUGUAAUACCUAGUAGACCAGGUAUGGGGGGGGGGGGGGGGCUAGAGAUGUACCCCAUAAAUUAUUUAACAUUUAAUCAAAGAUGCAUUAUGUAAGACUUAGAUAAAUAGCUGACCGUUCUGACUAUAAAUAGUUCAAAUAAUACAGUUAAUGAAAAAUAAAUAUAUUGAAAAUUUCA